CGUUGAUGUGGCAUACUUCACC
This 22-nucleotide microRNA is filed under the name Panax ginseng (ginseng). RNAcentral describes it as "pgi-miR6140d". The record is from miRBase by way of RNAcentral. Lineage: Eukaryota; Viridiplantae; Streptophyta; Magnoliopsida; Apiales; Araliaceae.